GAGCCUGGUUGAAGCCAUCGGUGUAUAUCAUUGCGGAGGAGCCAACCUAUCAACAAUCAAGUUGAAUAGCUCAAGUGGUUAGAGUUUUGACCAAACAUCC
Molecule: long non-coding RNA, 100 nt
Organism: Cucurbita moschata (crookneck pumpkin)
Lineage: Eukaryota; Viridiplantae; Streptophyta; Magnoliopsida; Cucurbitales; Cucurbitaceae
Exons: 3
Source: RefSeq, a predicted model, not a curated record